UUAUUGGAGACUUGAAUGAAAGGUUGAACAUAUAAUUUUUGUUUUUAGGUUAUUCAUUAAUUUUUAUUUUACGUAAGAAUACGUAAAUAUUUUGGAGGGACGAUAAGACCCUAAAAGCUUUACUUUUAAAAGAUUGUUUUUUAUUGUUUUAAUCUUAACUGUUUUUAAAAAGUUUGGCUGGGGCAGCAUUUUUUGUAAACAAAAAAAUUUUUUACAUGUAGGGUUUAAGGUCCUUUAUAUAAGGAUAGAUUGUGUAAGUUACUUUAGGGAUAACAGCGCGAUAAUGAUGGGGAGACCUUAUUUAUAUUAUUGAUUGUGACCUCGAUGUUGAAUUAAUAUAUCUUUAUAAAGCAGAAAUUAUUUUAGAGAGUUUGUUCAACUUUUAAAUUAUUACAUGAUUUG
RNAcentral lists this ribosomal RNA (402 nucleotides) under Talorchestia martensii. Its description in RNAcentral is "partial 16S ribosomal RNA". Lineage: Eukaryota; Metazoa; Arthropoda; Malacostraca; Amphipoda; Talitridae. The record is from RNAcentral.